RNAcentral lists this ribosomal RNA (235 nucleotides) under uncultured bacterium. RNAcentral describes it as "partial 16S ribosomal RNA". It matches the Rfam family "Bacterial small subunit ribosomal RNA", at positions 118 to 347 of the family's 1533-position model. The record is from RNAcentral.
UGAGCAAUCUGCCCUUCUCAUCGGAAUAAGCGUUGGAAACGACGUCUAAUGCCGAAUACGACCUCCUUUCGCAUGAUCGGAGGUGGAAAGCUCCGGCGGAGAAGGAUGAGCUCGCGGCCUGUCAGCUAGUUGGUGUGGGUAAUGGCCCACCAAGGCGACGACGGGUAGCCGGCCUGAGAGGGCCGACCGGCCACACUGGGACUGAGACACGGCCCAGACCUCCGUACGGGAGCAG